RNAcentral lists this ribosomal RNA (607 nucleotides) under Halomonas fontilapidosi. RNAcentral's name for it is "bacterial SSU rRNA". It matches the Rfam family "Bacterial small subunit ribosomal RNA", at positions 36 to 638 of the family's 1533-position model. Lineage: Bacteria; Pseudomonadati; Pseudomonadota; Gammaproteobacteria; Oceanospirillales; Halomonadaceae. The record is from RNAcentral.
CGGGCGGCUAGCGUACACAUGCAAGUCGAGCGGAACGAUGGAGCUUGCUCCAGGCGUCGAGCGGCGGACGGGUGAGUAAUGCAUAGGAAUCUGCCCGGUAGUGGGGGAUAACCUGGGGAAACUCAGGCUAAUACCGCAUACGCCCUACGGGGGAAAGCAGGGGCUCUUCGGACCUUGCGCUAUCGGAUGAGCCUAUGUCGGAUUAGCUAGUUGGUGAGGUAAUGGCUCACCAAGGCGACGAUCCGUAGCUGGUCUGAGAGGAUGAUCAGCCACAUCGGGACUGAGACACGGCCCGAACUCCUACGGGAGGCAGCAGUGGGGAAUAUUGGACAAUGGGCGAAAGCCUGAUCCAGCCAUGCCGCGUGUGUGAAGAAGGCUUUCGGGUUGUAAAGCACUUUCAGUGAGGAAGAACGCCUUGGGGCUAAUACCCCCGAGGGAAGACAUCACUCACAGAAGAAGCACCGGCUAACUCCGUGCCAGCAGCCGCGGUAAUACGGAGGGUGCAAGCGUUAAUCGGAAUUACUGGGCGUAAAGCGCGCGUAGGCGGCGUGAUAAGCCGGUUGUGAAAGCCCCGGGCUCAACCUGGGAACGGCAUCCGGAACUGUCA